GCAAGUCGAGCGGUAACAUUUCUAGCUUGCUAGAAGAUGACGAGCGGCGGACGGGUGAGUAAUGCUUGGGAAUAUGCCUUAUGGUGGGGGACAACAGUUGGAAACGACUGCUAAUACCGCAUAACGUCUACGGACCAAAGGGGGCUUCGGCUCCCGCCUUUAGAGAAGCCCAAGUGGGAUUAGGUAGUUGGUGAGGUAAAGGCUCACCAAGCCGACGAUCCCUAGCUGGUCUGAGAGGAUGAUC
Molecule: ribosomal RNA, 244 nt
Filed under: uncultured bacterium
Lineage: Bacteria
Description: partial 16S ribosomal RNA
Rfam family: Bacterial small subunit ribosomal RNA
Source: RNAcentral